RNAcentral lists this long non-coding RNA (1487 nucleotides) under Homo sapiens (human). RNAcentral's name for it is "HSALNT0361166". Lineage: Eukaryota; Metazoa; Chordata; Mammalia; Primates; Hominidae. The record is from RNAcentral.
CUCCUGCAUGUGACGGACACAGCACUGAUCCUGGCAGCUCCUUACCCCCAGCAGCCCGAAACUCACUCCUUAAUUACACAAGGGAAACCUUUUACCUCCGCAGCCAGAGUCUGGGGGGAAAGGCAGGCGUGGGAAGAUGGGUUCUCUACCUGGCCAGUGCCAUGUUGCCUGUUUCUUUACUGUAACUGUGGUGACAAAGAAAAGGGAAGAUGGAGCCUCCAUGUUGAACAUACCUGGCCCCCAGCACUAACUCCCUCUCUGGAUAUCUGGAACAAGGAGGACCUUAAACUUAACAAUAAAGCCAAUGAUGGUUCUACCAGUCUCCCCAAAGCCUCAAGUUUAAAAGCCAUAUGAACUGGCUGAUAGUGGAAAAUGGAAGCCAUGAGGAAAUCAGAUUAGAGUACUACCUGGUGAAGCCUGGAGGACCUACCAAGAAAAGCAAACUUGGAUCUUUGCAAGGUUAGAAGAACGAAUGGGAUCCAAGAAAAAGACUGGUCAUAUUCAACGGCUAAGAGCGUUGGAGAAGGCCUGUGGAGUCUCAGCAGGUCAGGUCCAUGACUCAUGAGUAGACACCUGUGUUUCUACUGCCUGGUGCCAUAAUCAUAAACAAGGAAGAAACUGAGGACAGGAGGGGCCAAACAAGUUACAGUUUCAUCCCUCCAGAGAGCCAACAGAGUAUUUUGCACGAAGUUGAAGCUAAACAGCAAAGAGGAACGAGGAUGGAUUCGAUAAGGUGCAACAAGUCCUGAACACACACAGAGAACUGGCUGUGAAUCCUGUUUCUGCCACUCACCACUUACUUGUUGGUGAAAAUGCUCAGGAUGUUCACUGCAGCCUGCCUCACCCUGGAAAAGAGAUGUGAGGAUAAUGAGAAAGAAGAGUAUGUUCAGUGCGGAGCAUGCAAAUUUGCAUGAAAACUUCCCAGGCAAAGCAGGAAAGAAACCAGACCUCUUUUCUGCACAAUAAUGGGGCCCACUAACUCUGGGGAAAAGAGUAAUCAGCAAAUGCCUUUCCUUUCUCCUGCUGAUGUUUUGCCCGUACUCAGACCCCUUGACUUCUUAGCUUCUACCCAAAGUGAGCUUGUCAUCAAAGUUCUCCAAAAAUCUGCAGUGUUCUCUUGAGCAAAUCUGCUUCCAAGACUAUAGCGCUCUGAUGCAUUGAGAUGACAGCAAGCGGCAUUUUUCAGUCCUGUUACCCAUAUGGCUGCUACCACUGCAUCCUGUUAAAUAAUGUCUUCAACCCAAGAAACCUGCUUCCUAGGGAAGUUUCUCUCUCUCUGCAUUUGUUCCCACUAGAGAAUGACCAUCACCAGAUUCCUGAACUGAAAAUGCUGUUGACACUUUGGAAACUCGGGCCUCUAUUAAUAGGGUGACCAACUAUCCUGGUUUACCUUGAGUACAGGAUUUUCAAUGCUAAAACCAGAAAAACCAGGAUGGUUGGUCAUCUGCCUCAGACCUAAUAAAUACCAGUCAAUAAUUCAGCCAUGA